This 250-nucleotide ribosomal RNA is filed under the name uncultured bacterium. RNAcentral describes it as "partial 16S ribosomal RNA". It matches the Rfam family "Bacterial small subunit ribosomal RNA", at positions 524 to 773 of the family's 1533-position model. The record is from RNAcentral.
UACGUAUGUCCCGAGCGUUAUCCGGAUUUAUUGGGCGUAAAGCGAGCGCAGACGGUUCGUUAAGUCUGAAGUGAAAGCCCACAGCUCAACUGUGGAAUGGCUUUGGAAACUGGCGAACUUGAGUGCAGUAGAGGCAAGUGGAACUCCAUGUGUAGCGGUGGAAUGCGUAGAUAUAUGGAAGAACACCAGUGGCGAAGGCGGCUUGCUGGACUGUAACUGACGUUGAGGCUCGAAAGUGUGGGUAGCAAAC